RNAcentral lists this non-coding RNA (51 nucleotides) under Aquibium oceanicum. RNAcentral describes it as "Mesorhizobium sp. B7 Xanthine riboswitch aptamer (NMT1 RNA)". It matches the Rfam family "Xanthine riboswitch aptamer (NMT1 RNA)". Rfam says of the family: Later it was reported as a ncRNA that recognised Xanthine. RNAcentral also lists the same sequence under 1 other name. The record is from Rfam by way of RNAcentral. Lineage: Bacteria; Pseudomonadati; Pseudomonadota; Alphaproteobacteria; Hyphomicrobiales; Phyllobacteriaceae.
UCCCCGAGUAGAAGCGGUCAGGGCGGGAAGGCCCGGGACAUUGCUCGGCAA